Molecule: long non-coding RNA, 284 nt
Filed under: Capsicum annuum
Lineage: Eukaryota; Viridiplantae; Streptophyta; Magnoliopsida; Solanales; Solanaceae
Description: long non-coding RNA (CANN_LNC016447)
Source: RNAcentral
GUCCCUGCCCAAAACUUAGUACAAACAUUUCCCUAAUGUCGAUAGAUUCAGAGGUCCCUGCCCAAAACUUAGUACAAACAUUUCCUUAAUGUCGAUAGAUUCAGAGUAAGUUUGUUUCUAUAAUUUGUUUGCACCCUUUAAUUGAUGAGAGUUUGUACUACUUUCUUACUAUAUAAAAGUAAAUGGUUAAUAUAGAAAUGGCCUAGCCAUAAUUUUGAACUCUAUUGAUAUGGGCUGGACUAAAACUAGUUAAACAUAUGUGGGCGGUGUUAGAUUCAUCCAGC